This 33445-nucleotide long non-coding RNA is filed under the name Arabidopsis thaliana (thale cress). RNAcentral's name for it is "long non-coding RNA (ATHA_LNC000469)". The record is from RNAcentral. Lineage: Eukaryota; Viridiplantae; Streptophyta; Magnoliopsida; Brassicales; Brassicaceae.
AUCUAGAUAAUGCCCUGUGGUAUCUGGUAGCCAGAAUUCUAAUUCUGUUUCUGGUUACUUCGUUUUUACACGGGCAGAAAGUGAAUCUCCUACAGGUCUUGCGACACAGUUUGCUUUUGAUUUGAUAAGCUUACUGUUACUUUAACCCUGUUGACAUUUCUCAUCUAUCUCAUUCGUCAAAAAGCUUGUUUUGAUUCUCUGAUGAUUAUGCUUAAUCUUCAUUCUCUGAUUGUUCUUUUGUUUUUCAAUUGUUAUUGUUCAGGAAAGCUGGAGGAGGCCUAAGGGUAUUGACUCCCGGGUGAGAAGAAAGUUCAAGGGUGUCACCUUGAUGCCCAAUGUUGGUUACGGAUCUGAUAAGAAGACCCGCCACUACCUCCCAAAUGGAUUCAAGAAGUUCAUUGUUCACAACACCUCUGAGCUCGAGCUACUCAUGAUGCACAACAGGUAACUAUUAUGACUCCUUGGUGUUAUACACCACAAGGAUUUGAUAGAUUUUUUAAAGCAAGAUUCUCAUGGUGUGUUUUGCUUUGGAUUUUUCACAGGACUUACUGUGCAGAGAUUGCUCACAAUAUCUCAACAAAGAAGAGAAAGGCCAUAGUGGAGAGAGCUUCUCAGCUAGACGUUGUUGUUUCCAACAAGCUUGGUAGGUUGCGUAGCCAGGAAGACGAGUGAAAGCCCUAAAAGAUAUCAUCUAGGGUUUUUCUUUUAUCUGUCGUUAACUAUUCCGAAUUAUCUUCUUUUUUUUUUUUUUUUGCGUUUUGGAGAGUGGCUGAAUGAUAUUACAACUUGGGUUCUCGUUUUUAUGAUAUUAAUUCAGAAUCAGACACAGUCUCAGACCAUAAUUUAUUCCUCAAUUUAUACCUAAAUUUUCAGACCAUCGAAAUUUAACUUGAGUUCAAAACUUUUAUCGAUACUGCCAAGUGUAACUAAGUUAGGAUAGCUGAGAGAGACACACUCCAUUUCGUGCUUUAAUCCCCACGUUGUCCAGAAAGACUCGAUGAGAGAAUCUCAAUCUUGUUCCAUCUCCUCACGUGAGUCGUUACACCAAGAUGAUUUGGGGAUACACGAGGAACAAAAAAUUAGUUGAUGCGUUGAAUCUGUUCGACGAAAUGCCUGAGAGAGAGAUGUAAGGAGAUGAAUGUAGUUGCUGUGAAGCUAGGUUCAAGGGUCGAUUCCUUUGUGGCUAAUUCUGUGGUUGUGAUGUUCAGUGGAAACAUGAACGACGCCGUUUCAGUGUUCAUAGAUAAUUGGAGGAAGAACCUUGUCUCGUGGAGUUCAUCCAUCGUGGGUUUCUACAAAAAGGAAGAAAGCUUUUUGGUUACUUGUCAAGCGGACCAAAUCAUAUCUAGAAAGAUUAAACACUACACUUGUAAGGUAUAUAUCUUGGGAAGAAAAAUAGAUGUUGUGAUAUCGUAGUGACAGGCUUGCUGUUGCAUUUGGGUUGGUUAGUAUAGUUGAAGGAAGUAAAGUCACUAUGGUUUUUUGAAGAUUGUCACACAGUGAUUAAGUCUGAUCUUAAGAGUUGUGGGAACUGGGACGUGAGAUUGUUUUAAGAGAUUCGACUUGGUUUCAUCAUUUUAAGAAUGGGAUUUUUUCUUGUGGUUAUUGGUAGAGGAGUACUUGAGAAAGUUGCAAAGUUUGACUUGUGAUGUGAGGAUAAGAGGGUAAGAGACUAUAAAUGUGAUUGUGAGUUGUGUGGUGGUGGUAAAGUCACGAUCCAUUCCAAAGGAGGAGCCUUCUGUCAAGUUGGCAGAAAAGUCUGAGAACCACUUGUGGAAUUGCUAGUCACCACUUUGCCUCUGCUAAAUUAUAUAUGGGCAAAUCACUUCUCCUCUGAUAUUUUUUUCCAGAAACGUCUAAGAUUGUUUCCUCCUCUGUUAAUGGCUUCUUCGUCCUCCUCUUCUCGCAAUUGGUCAUAUGAUGUUUUCCCAAGCUUCAGUGGAGAAGAUGUCCGCAAAACAUUCCUCAGCCACUUUCUCAGGGAGCUGGAACGGAAAUCGAUCAUUACUUUCAAAGACAAUGAGAUGGAGAGAAGCCAGUCAAUAGCCCCAGAGCUUGUAGAGGCGAUUAAAGAUUCAAGGAUUGCAGUGAUUGUGUUCUCUAAAAACUACGCCUCUUCAAGCUGGUGUCUAAAUGAGCUGUUAGAGAUUAUGCGAUGCAACAAAUAUUUGGGCCAGCAAGUGAUACCAGUCUUCUACUAUUUGGAUCCUUCUCAUCUUCGGAAACAGUCGGGAGAGUUUGGAGAGGCAUUUAAAAAGACUUGCCAGAACCAAACUGAGGAAGUGAAAAAUCAGUGGAAGCAAGCGUUGACUGAUGUUUCAAACAUCCUCGGAUAUCAUUCUAAGAACUGGUAUGUGUUUAUAAGUCUUGAAUAAAUGUUUCUACGUGAGAUGUGAUCACUGAUAUUUGUUUCAUGUUUGUGCAUUGAUUUUUCUUCUCGUUAGCAAUAGCGAAGCUACAAUGAUUGAAGAAAUCUCCAGUCAUAUUUUAGGUAAACUGAGUUUAACUCCAUCAAAUGAUUUUGAGGAAUUUGUUGGCAUCAAAGAUCAUAUCGAGAAGGUGAGGUUGUUGUUGCAUUUGGAAUCUGACGAAGUGAGGAUGGUUGGGAUAUGGGGUACCUCGGGAAUCGGUAAGACUACCAUUGCAAGAGCUUUAUUUAGUAAUCUCUCUAGUCAGUUUCAAAGUAGUGUUUACAUAGACAGGGCUUUCAUAUCUAAGAGUAUGGAAGGUUACGGUCGAGCCAAUCCAGAUGACUAUAACAUGAAGUUGCGUUUGCGAGAAAAUUUCCUGUUUGAAAUUUUGGGCAAAAAGAACAUGAAGAUCGGUGCAAUGGAAGAAAGGCUGAAGCAUCAAAAAGUUCUUAUCAUUAUUGAUGAUUUGGAUGAUCAAGAUGUGCUAGAUGCCUUAGUGGGUAGAACUCAAUGGUUUGGAAGUGGGAGUAGAAUAAUUGUGGUUACAAAAAACAAACAUUUCUUAAGGGCCCAUGGGAUUGAUCAUGUUUACGAGGCCUGUCUCCCAUCUGAAGAACUUGCUCUUGAGAUGUUUUGUCGAUAUGCUUUCAGGAAGAAUUCUCCACCUGAUGGUUUUAUGGAGCUUUCUUCUGAAGUUGCAUUGCGCGCUGGUAAUCUUCCUUUGGGUCUUAAAGUUUUGGGUUCGUAUCUACGGGGUAGGGACAUAGAGGACUGGAUGGAUAUGAUGCCGAGGCUUCAAAAUGAUUUAGAUGGGAAAAUUGAGAAGACACUAAGAGUCAGCUACGAUGGAUUAAACAACAAAAAGGAUGAAGCAAUAUUUCGUCACAUUGCAUGUCUUUUCAAUGGUGAGAAAGUAAAUGACAUCAAGUUGCUUCUAGCAGAGAGUGACUUGGAUGUUAAUAUUGGGUUAAAAAACCUUGUUGAUAAGUCUCUCAUAUUUGUAAGAGAGGAUACUAUUGAGAUGCACCGUUUGCUACAAGAUAUGGGUAAGGAGAUUGUCCGUGCACAGUCAAAUGAGCCUGGAGAACGGGAAUUCCUUGUGGAUUCGAAGCAUAUCUACGAUGUACUUGAAGAUAACACUGUAAGUUUCGUGCUCUUUUCAUAAAUCUCACUCUAUAAGACCAAAAGCAUGUCAUUUGAUAAACGAAGAGUUGUUAGGUGUUUGCUAAGCUGAAUGUUUUUUCUCUUUUUAUUGAUCUUAUAAUUCCAGGGUACUAAAAAAGUCUUAGGUAUCGCACUGGAUAUUAACGAGACUGAUGGACUGUAUAUACAUGAGAGUGCCUUCAAAGGGAUGCGUAAUCUCCUGUUUCUAAAUUUUUACACUAAACAGAAGAAAGAUGUAACAUGGCACUUAUCAGAAGGUUUCGAUCAUUUACCCCCUAAGCUCAGAUUACUGAGUUGGGAAAAAUACCCGUUGAGAUGUAUGCCUUCUAACUUUCGUCCAGAAAACCUUGUUAAGCUUCAAAUGUGUGAGAGCAAACUCGAAAAGUUGUGGGAUGGAGUUCAUGUAAGUUUUUAGUAAAGUUAUAACUAGUAUCGAGAUUAGAAUGCUUCUUUUAAACAUAAAAUGUUUACCCUUUCAAGUGAUAUGUAACUUACCUAUACUUCAGUCACUUACAGGGCUCAGGAAUAUGGAUUUGCGGGGAUCAGAAAACCUGAAAGAAAUUCCAGAUCUUUCUUUGGCCACUAACCUCAAGAAACUUGAUGUUAGCAAUUGCACAAGUUUAGUGGAGCUUUCUUCCACAAUUCAGAAUCUUAAUCAAUUAGAGGAAUUGCAGAUGGAACGUUGCGAAAAUUUGGAGAAUCUUCCCAUUGGAAUCAACCUCGAAUCUCUUUAUUGCCUCAAUCUCAAUGGAUGCUCAAAGUUGAGGAGUUUUCCAGAUAUCUCAACAACUAUCUCAGAGCUCUAUCUAAGCGAAACAGCCAUAGAAGAAUUUCCCACUGAGUUGCAUUUAGAGAAUCUAUAUUAUCUUGGCUUGUAUGACAUGAAGAGUGAGAAAUUGUGGAAAAGAGUGCAGGUAUGUUCUUAUUCUAAUGUUUUCUCCAACCUUUUUCUAAACUCACGUAUUAUAAGAAGUUAAUGUCACGUUGGGUUUGAUUUCUUAAACGUUGUGAAAAAAGUUUAUUGAGAAAACUAUCUGUGUAAUGCUUGUGGUUACUAUCUAUAAUCUACGUGAAUAAUUUUUUGAGUGAUUGAGUGAUUGAGUGAUUUUGUUAACAUCUCUAUUUUGUUUUUGUUUUUGGUUCAGCCGCUUACACCGCUCAUGACCAUGCUGUCUCCCUCUUUGACGAAGCUAUUUCUCUCAGAUAUCCCAAGUUUGGUGGAGCUUCCUUCUUCAUUUCAGAAUCUCCAUAAUCUUGAGCAUUUGAACAUUGCACGAUGCACAAAUCUGGAGACUCUUCCCACUGGAGUCAACCUAGAAUUACUUGAACAACUUGAUUUUUCUGGAUGCUCACGGUUGAGGAGUUUUCCUGAUAUCUCAACCAACAUCUUUUCACUAGUUCUAGACGGAACAGGGAUUGAAGAGGUUCCUUGGUGGAUUGAGGAUUUCUAUAGGCUCUCUUUCCUGAGUAUGAUUGGAUGCAACAAUUUACAAGGUGUGUCCCUAAACAUUUCUAAACUGGAAAAACUCGAGACGGUAGACUUUUCAGACUGUGAGGCACUGUCUCAUGCUAAUUGGGAUACCAUUCCAAGUGCAGUGGCGAUGGCAACAGAAAAUAUUCACUCUAAGUUACCAGUCUGUAUCAAAUUCAGCAACUGCUUCAACUUGGAUCAUAAAGCUGUCCUUCUGCAACAAUCAAUUUUCAAGCAACUAAUCUUGUCAGGUGGAGAAAUGUUUUCAUAUUUCACUCACCGAACUACUGGAACGUCUCUGACCAAUAUCCCUCUUCUUCACAUCUCUCCUUGUCAACCAUUCUUCAGAUUUAGAGCUUGCGCCUUGGUUGAUACUGAAUCUAUGGACAUAGGUAGUGUAUUUUUCCAGGUCCAGGUAUCUUGUCGGUUCACAGACAGACUCGGGAACUAUUUGGAUUCCCCUUAUCAACACGAGGUCUUCGCAGUACUUGAGAAGGGUAGUCAUAUGGUUAUAUCUGACUGCUGUUUCCCUUUUAACGAAGACAAUGCUCCUCUAGCUGAACUUAUCUAUGAUCACGUGGAUAUACAGUUUCACUUUACUCAAGAAAACGAUGAGCUCAAACUAAUAGGAUGUGGUCUAAGACUCUCUGAAGCCGAUAAUGAUCUAGGCAAUGAGAUUGAUGGCAGUGAAGAGUGGGAAGACUGCAACGAUAGCGGUCUUGGCAGUGAAUCUGAUAAUUUAGAGGCAGAAGAAGACACGUGAGAAGGAAGCUUACUUGAAGAAGAAGAUAUUUUUUAUCUGUGCCAAACUUGUUUACAGCUUUUGGAUCGGGCAUGCUGAUUGUUGUACAUCUUCUCCUGCGUGGGAUUUGAGGGUAGUGAGCUAGAGAAGAUGAUGCUCUAGAGCUCUACUUGUAUGAAGAUUAUAUUGUACAUUGAGAUGAGAGAAGAGAGAAGAGAUCACAUCUUCAAACUUAUCAGAAUCUGAUCACAGUGAAGAAAGAGUGUGAAGACAAUGAUGUGGAGAAAAGGGAAGCAGUGAGAGAAUGUAGAUUAUCUAAUGACAUGUGGCUUGUUAGAGAAAACUUUUAUCUAAUGACAUGCAUCUUCAAACAAAGUUUUCUCUUUUUGUUUUUUGUUUUCUACAACUUCAUCUGCAGAUGCUUUGUUGAAGUAAUUCUUGUACCAUAUAUAUAACGAUUGGGAAUUUUCUUGCUGACUCUGCUGUAACUUAAACGCAAAUGAGGAACAUGAAAUGUUGAUAAGAUUUUCUGUUGUAUUCAAGUUUGUUACAUAGAGAGCCUCUUAUUUAAAAAGAGGAUCCUGGUUUGCCUACAUUGUCCCAGUCCUUACUAAACCUGUAUACUCAAUUUAAACCGGUCCAGAAGAUUCAAAAUCGCGAAGCCAAUUUUGUCGGAAAGUUCAAAACUUUUUUGACUCUGGAACUUUGCCGUUCUAUACACGAAGCUACAUUGAGUGUGGCUUUGUGAUUGUUUUACGCUGAUGUGACCGUUGUAGGAAAUGUGGAGUCGUGCCAUUUUUCAACGAUUCAGGUUUCGAGCUUUCUCUAUAUCUCACGUUAUCCAUGGGAAAUGUUACAGAAGUUUCUCAGUUACUGUGGAGUUUCAGAAUCGCGAGGUUUUGAUAUGUAAUCACUUGUUGAGUCGACGAAUCGAUGAGGCUCGAGAGGUUUUCAAUCAGGUUCCAUCUCCUCAUGUGAGUCUUUACACAAAGAUGAUUACGGGAUACACGAGGAGUAAUAGAUUGGUUGAUGCGUUGAAUCUGUUCGACGAAAUGCCUGUGAGAGAUGUUGUAUCAUGGAAUUCGAUGAUCAGUGGUUGUGUGGAGUGUGGUGAUAUGAAUACUGCAGUGAAGCUGUUCGAUGAAAUGCCUGAGAGAAGCGUGGUUUCAUGGACAGCGAUGGUAAAUGGGUGUUUUAGGUCUGGUAAGGUUGAUCAAGCGGAGAGAUUGUUUUAUCAAAUGCCUGUGAAAGAUACUGCAGCGUGGAAUUCGAUGGUUCAUGGGUAUUUACAGUUUGGUAAAGUAGACGAUGCCUUGAAGUUGUUUAAGCAAAUGCCUGGGAAGAAUGUGAUUUCGUGGACGACAAUGAUCUGUGGGUUAGACCAGAAUGAGAGGAGUGGAGAGGCUCUCGAUUUGUUCAAGAACAUGUUGCGUUGUUGCAUAAAAUCGACUUCAAGACCAUUCACUUGCGUAAUCACCGCUUGCGCGAAUGCUCCAGCGUUUCAUAUGGGGAUACAAGUUCAUGGCUUGAUCAUCAAGUUGGGGUUUUUAUAUGAAGAAUAUGUAUCUGCUUCGCUCAUAACUUUUUAUGCAAACUGCAAAAGAAUAGGGGAUUCUCGGAAGGUGUUUGACGAGAAGGUUCAUGAACAAGUUGCUGUGUGGACUGCUCUAUUGUCAGGUUAUAGUCUGAACAAAAAGCACGAAGAUGCGUUGAGUAUAUUCUCCGGGAUGUUAAGAAACAGUAUCUUACCAAAUCAAUCAACAUUUGCUAGCGGAUUAAACUCUUGCUCUGCUUUGGGAACAUUGGAUUGGGGUAAGGAGAUGCAUGGAGUUGCUGUGAAGCUUGGUUUAGAAACUGAUGCCUUUGUGGGUAAUUCUCUUGUUGUGAUGUACAGCGAUUCUGGAAACGUUAAUGAUGCCGUUUCAGUGUUCAUAAAAAUCUUCAAGAAGAGCAUUGUGUCAUGGAAUUCCAUUAUUGUUGGCUGCGCGCAGCAUGGGCGUGGAAAGUGGGCGUUUGUCAUAUUUGGUCAAAUGAUACGCCUAAACAAAGAGCCAGAUGAGAUCACUUUCACUGGCUUACUCUCUGCUUGUAGCCAUUGCGGGUUCCUAGAGAAAGGAAGAAAGCUGUUCUAUUACAUGUCAAGUGGAAUAAAUCAUAUCGAUAGAAAGAUUCAACACUACACUUGUAUGGUUGAUAUCUUGGGAAGAUGCGGAAAAUUGAAAGAAGCAGAAGAACUUAUCGAGAGAAUGGUUGUGAAACCUAAUGAAAUGGUUUGGUUGGCUUUACUUAGUGCUUGUAGGAUGCAUUCUGAUGUAGACAGAGGCGAGAAAGCUGCUGCAGCCAUUUUUAAUCUGGACUCAAAAUCAAGCGCUGCUUAUGUCUUAUUGUCAAAUAUAUAUGCUUCUGCUGGUAGAUGGUCGAAUGUAUCAAAAUUGAGAGUUAAGAUGAAGAAGAAUGGGAUUAUGAAGAAACCCGGGAGCAGUUGGGUUGUUAUUAGAGGGAAAAAGCACGAAUUUUUCUCCGGUGAUCAACCACAUUGCUCGAGGAUAUAUGAGAAGUUGGAGUUUCUGAGAGAGAAGUUGAAGGAACUGGGCUAUGCUCCUGAUUAUAGAUCCGCUUUACAUGACGUUGAAGAUGAACAGAAAGAAGAGAUGUUGUGGUACCACAGUGAGAGGCUUGCUAUUGCUUUUGGGUUGAUUAAUACAGUUGAAGGAAGUGCAGUCACAGUGAUGAAGAAUCUACGGGUUUGUGAAGAUUGUCACACAGUGAUUAAGUUAAUCUCCGGAGUUGUGGGACGUGAGAUUGUUUUAAGGGAUCCGAUUCGGUUUCAUCAUUUCAAGAAUGGGACGUGUUCUUGUGGGGAUUAUUGGUAGAACAGUGAUUUGGAAAAUUUCAAGCUUUCACUUGUGAUGUGGAAAGUGACUUGGGAAUUUACAUUAAUACCUGAUCUUACCAAAAAAAAAAAAAAAUCAGAUAUUAUUAUGUUAGAAUAUAUACAGGGUUUUGGCUUGUGUGGUGGUGAUUAAGUCAAGACUCAAGAACCAGUCCAAAAGAGGAAAUUUCCAAGAAACAAUGAUGCAAUUGCUAGGGACCAGCUACUGCAAUUUAUAGGGUUUCUUAACAACCACGCGAGCCCUCACUUCGACUCUAAAUUUUUCCAGAAUCUCCUCUCUUUAUGGCUUCUUCUUCCUCCUCCUCUUCUCGCAAUUGGUCAUAUCACGUUUUCCCGAGUUUCAGCGGAGAAGAUGUCCGCAACACAUUCCUUAGCCACUUUCUAAAAGAACUGGAUAGGAAACUGAUCAUUUCUUUCAAAGACAAUGAGAUCGAGAGAAGCCAGUCACUUGAUCCCGAACUUAAACAUGGGAUUAGAAAUUCCAGAAUUGCGGUGGUUGUGUUCUCCAAAACCUAUGCCUCUUCAAGCUGGUGCCUUAACGAGCUACUGGAGAUUGUGAAAUGCAAGAAAGAGUUUGGCCAACUUGUGAUACCCAUUUUCUACAAUUUGGAUCCAUCCCAUGUGAGGAAACAGACCGGAGACUUUGGGAAGAUCUUUGAAAAGACAUGCCGAAAUAAAACAGUGGAUGAGAAAAUCCGAUGGAAGGAAGCUUUGACCGAUGUAGCUAAUAUCCUUGGAUAUCAUAUUGUUACCUGGUACGACUUUAUGAAUCAUAUUAUGGUUAUUUAACGAACAUUAUUACUUGUUGUUUAGCAAACAUGGUUGUGAAAUGGUCUGUUUCCUUAUUAGGGAUAACGAAGCAAGCAUGAUCGAAGAAAUCGCCAAUGAUAUUUUGGGUAAAAUGAAUAUAUCUCCAUCAAAUGAUUUUGAGGACUUGGUCGGUAUUGAAGAUCAUAUCACAAAGAUGAGUUCAUUGCUGCACUUGGAAUCUGAGGAAGUGAGGAUGGUCGGGAUAUGGGGUCCCUCGGGAAUUGGCAAAACGACCAUUGCAAGAGCUCUAUUUAGUCGACUCUCUUGUCAGUUUCAAAGUAGUGUUUUCAUUGACAAGGUUUUCAUAUCUAAGAGUAUGGAAGUUUACAGUGGAGCUAAUCUUGUUGACUAUAACAUGAAGUUGCACUUGCAAAGAGCCUUUCUAGCUGAAAUUUUUGACAAAAAGGACAUAAAGAUACAUGUAGGUGCAAUGGAAAAGAUGGUAAAGCACCGGAAAGCUCUCAUCGUUAUUGAUGAUUUAGAUGAUCAAGAUGUGCUAGAUGCUUUAGCGGAUCAAACUCAAUGGUUUGGAAGUGGGAGUAGAAUCAUUGUGGUUACAGAAAAUAAGCAUUUUUUAAGGGCCAAUCGGAUUGAUCACAUUUACAAGGUCUGUCUCCCAUCUAAUGCGCUGGCUCUUGAGAUGUUUUGUCGUUCUGCUUUUAAGAAGAAUUCUCCUCCUGAUGACUUUUUGGAGCUUUCUUCUGAAGUUGCAUUGCGUGCUGGUAAUCUUCCUUUGGGCCUGAACGUAUUGGGUUCAAAUUUACGGGGCAUAAACAAAGGUUACUGGAUAGAUAUGCUACCGAGGCUUCAAGGUUUGGAUGGAAAAAUAGGGAAAACACUAAGAGUCAGCUAUGAUGGGUUGAAUAACAGAAAAGAUGAAGCAAUAUUUCGUCACAUUGCAUGUAUUUUCAAUGGUGAGAAAGUCAGUGACAUCAAACUAUUACUAGCAAAUAGUAACUUGGAUGUUAAUAUCGGGCUAAAAAACCUUGUUGAUAGAUCCCUUAUCUGUGAAAGAUUCAAUACUCUGGAGAUGCACUCUUUGCUACAAGAAUUGGGUAAGGAGAUUGUCCGUACUCAGUCCAAUCAGCCUGGAGAACGGGAGUUCCUUGUGGAUUUGAAGGAUAUUUGCGAUGUACUUGAACAUAACACUGUAAGUUUUUUCCUGCUUUUUUUUCAUAACCUCACUCUAUGAUUAAAUGCAUGUCAUUUCAUAUGUGCAGAAUUGUAACGAAUUGGUUUUGUAUCUUUCAAUUCUUAUAAUUUUUAGGGUACUAAGAAGGUUUUAGGUAUAACAUUGGAUAUAGAUGAGACUGACGAACUGCAUAUACAUGAGAGCUCCUUCAAAGGAAUGCACAAUCUCCUUUUUCUAAAAAUUUAUACUAAGAAAUUGGACCAGAAAAAAAAAGUUAGAUGGCACUUACCGGAACGCUUCGACUAUUUGCCCUCUAGACUUAGAUUAUUGAGGUUUGACAGAUACCCAUCGAAAUGUCUUCCUUCUAACUUUCAUCCUGAAAACCUGGUUAAGCUUCAAAUGCAGCAGAGCAAACUUGAGAAGCUGUGGGACGGAGUUCAUGUAAGUUUUUAGUACUCUACCAGGAUUAAUAUCGACAUUGGAAUACUUGUUUUACUUUAUAGAUGACCAUCCUUUCAAGUAUUGUGUAACUUAGUUGCAUAUAAUUCAGUCACUUGCAGGGCUCAGGAAUAUGGAUUUACGGGGAUCUAGAAACCUGAAAGAAAUCCCAGAUCUUUCAAUGGCCACUAAUCUAGAAACACUUAAACUCAGCAGUUGCUCGAGUUUGGUGGAACUUCCUUCGUCUAUUCAGUACCUGAAUAAGCUGAAUGAUUUGGACAUGUCAUACUGCGAUCAUUUGGAGACUAUUCCCUCUGGAGUUAACCUCAAAUCUCUCGAUCGUCUCAAUCUCAGUGGAUGCUCACGGUUGAAAAGUUUUCUUGACAUACCAACCAACAUCUCAUGGCUUGAUAUAGGCCAAACAGCGGACAUUCCCUCUAAUUUGCGUCUACAGAAUCUCGAUGAGCUUAUAUUGUGCGAAAGAGUGCAGGUAUUUACGUUUGCUAACAUUUUCUCGAACCUACAUUUAACUAACACUUAUAUAACCAACUAGGUCGAAUUACUUGAAAUAUCCCUUAUAAGUAUUUACUAGUUAUCUGUUUUCUGGUCGAAAUAUUAGUACAGGUCGUAUGUAAAUUGAUCAUGGGAUUUUAUUUUUAAUUAGAGAGUCAAACUUGGAAGACAGUUUGCAGAUGAGAAGUUACACGAAAUAGUUAUUUCUGAUAUUUGCAAAUGAGUUUUAACAUCUUUUAAUUGUUUCUCUUUUGCUUUCAUUUUUUGUUUAGCUGCGUACACCUCUCAUGACCAUGCUUUCUCCCACUUUGACGAGGUUGACUUUUUCGAACAACCCAAGUUUUGUGGAAGUCCCUUCUUCAAUUCAGAAUCUCUAUCAACUUGAGCAUUUGGAAAUUAUGAACUGCAGAAAUCUGGUGACUCUUCCCACUGGAAUAAACCUCGACUCUCUCAUUUCACUUGAUCUCUCUCAUUGUUCUCAGUUGAAGACUUUUCCUGAUAUCUCAACCAACAUCUCAGAUCUCAAUCUAAGCUACACAGCGAUUGAAGAGGUUCCUUUGUCGAUCGAGAAAUUAUCUCUCCUCUGUUACCUAGAUAUGAAUGGAUGCAGCAAUUUACUAUGUGUAUCCCCAAACAUUUCUAAACUGAAACAUCUCGAGAGAGCUGACUUUUCAGACUGUGUGGAAUUGACUGAAGCUAGCUGGAAUGGUAGUUCAAGUGAGAUGGUCAAACUUCUUCCAGCUGAUAAUUUCUCAACGGUCAAGCUCAACUUCAUCAACUGCUUCAAGUUAGAUCUAACAGCUCUUAUUCAAAACCAAACAUUUUUCAUGCAACUGAUACUAACAGGUGAAGAAGUGCCUUCAUAUUUCACUCACCGUACCAGUGGGGACUCUAUCUCCCUACCUCACAUCUCUGUAUGCCAAUCAUUCUUCAGUUUUAGGGGUUGCACCGUGAUUGAUGUCGAUUCUUUUUCCACAAUCUCUGUUUCAUUUGACAUUGAAGUAUGUUGUCGGUUCAUAGACAGAUUCGGGAACCACUUUGAUUCUACUGAUUUUCCAGGAUACUUCAUAACAACAAAGUUGGGUGGUCAUCUGGUUGUCUUUGACUGUUAUUUUCCCUUUAACGAAGAAUUUACUACUUUUCUGGAUGGUCAAUUCAACUACGAUCACGUGGAUAUACAGUUUCGUCUCACGAAUGACAACUCUCAGCUCAAACUAAAAGGAUGCGGUAUUCUACUUUCCGAAGAUGUCCCAUCCCUGGAUAACCGACCUUGUAGUCCAAAUAUUCUUCCAGGGGUUUGUGAAGAUAGCGCUUUAGAGAGAAGGAGUUUCCGGACUAAAAUGCGGAUGGUAAGCAUUUGGAAUAGAUUGUACGUAGAUAACUAUUAAUAUCCCAUUAGAUAUUGUCAGGACAAACAGAAAACUAUUAUACCAUAUAGUUGACUGGAUGUUUUCUGCAGAUGAGGAUGAGACUACUGAAGAAACUACUGAAUCGCUAGACAGCCAAUCCACAAGAUACAUAAAAGGAUGUCUCCUGAGCACAUGUGGGACUUCCCUUACAGUAUUCCUUCUUCGUGAAACUUCCCCCUUAUAUAAGGUAACCCAAGAAUCUCAUAGACCAUCUUAUGUUAGUUACAUAUAAAUCGUGUCACAGGGCAUCAUACUGAAGGACCUAUUAUAUAAUGUUUUGCUACUGACAAAGGAAUUGGUCCAAUUGGUAAUUCUACCUCCUUGGUCCAGUUUCAACCAAUUUUUUUUUUUCUAGUACAAAUUAAAUUGUGAAACAGAAACUAUGAAUAAAUUCUUUAGCUCUACUAUGUGUCUAGACUGUAGUUAUAAACAUAAUUCUAUUAUUUUUCUUGGCAUCUUCUCAUAGUCUUAUUUUGCUAUGCUACAACUGUUAUAGAUUACUGAAGUUGCAAGCACCGUUGUAAGAUCUGAUGAAGAAGCUAGGAAUGGAGACAUUCGUGAGAGCAGAGAAUAUGGAAAAGCUUUAUUUUUGUCAGCAAAAGAUUUUGUGAGUGGGAAUGAUACUGAAGAGUGAGGAGAGAGUGGUGUAAAGACGGAGGGAAGAAGGAAGCGAAAGCAGGUAAUCUUGAACUUCACAUUCUCUGGUGUUAUGUGUUUAUUUUCCAAGAGUAAUUCGGAAAGCAUUCUAUAGAAUUAGAUCACAUUGGAUUUGUUUCUCUCUGAACCCUGAUAUAACUGAUUUUAGUGAAAUCAGUAGGAUCGUUAAACACAAUUGAAUUAAAAUCAGUAGGCUUCUUUUGUAGUAUAGAGAUUGCAUAGUUUCAGCCUACAGGCUUUAUCUCAGUCUAUUACAAUGUUCACCAGUUAUUGAUACUUGUUUAAUACAUUACAGUGUUCCAAGAUGGAUGUCUCUGUUUCUGACAAAAGCUUUGCAUAUUCUGAGCCAAAGACUAAGCAGUUCAAGUCUAUCUCGAGUCAUCUCAAACCAAGAUAGGUAUGAUUUUAUAGCCCCCCCAAUGUUUUUAUUUUUUGUUGAUUCAACAUGUCUGAAAAAUAUCAUCAAAAUCAGAUUAUCUUUGUCGUUGUUGGUAGUAUUUGCUCAUUUUAACACAAAAAAGUCCUUGUUUAGUAAUGUUUUCAAAAUGUACAUCAAUUUUUUUGUUUAUCAUCACUCUCUUUUAAUCCUGUGUGUCUUCUUCUCAUUAUGUUGGACUAUUUGAUCAUUUUUUGUGCAGAUCAGUUUCCUUUGGACUCUUCCUCGGUGGACGCCGUUUUAGCCAUUUCCAAAACAUCUGGUUUCCCAGUGAUAAAAUAUGUGGUCAAGUAUCUUGAAUGGCACUGAUUUUGUGUGCAAACAUUUGGAGGGUGAAAUGCAACGGGUUUGUCUCGUGCAUCUGGUCUAUGUAAUGGGUUUAUUUGACCUCUUAUAAUGGCAUCUUCCUUGCAGACCAUUCAAAGGAGAGUGGCGUUGGCUGGUUUUCUGGAGCCACAGUGUCUCUAUUUGAAAUCUAUUAAGUUGUCUACAUUCAGUUUAUCCUUUGGGGUUAGCAUUUUUACACUUCUUGUCUGUCUUCUCUUUCUUUUAGUAUGAGGAAACGUUUCUUCUUCCCCCAACAUAUGUAUAAAAACAUGUUCUUUGAGUUCAGGCCAUUCUAGGCCUUUAACAUGAAGGAUAAAAGAUCUUCAUUCUACUUAUCUGUCAAACUUGGAUAUCAGGGGACAAGGUAACUGGUCCUUUAUAUAUAUCACCAUUGUAAAGUCUUGUAAAUCCUUCAUUCAUGUAACUUUUUCUUCCUCUUUAGGUAUCUCUAUCUCAAAACUUCCUUGAAGCUGACAUAUAACCAUGCGAAAGGUGCAUCUUCAUAACUCACAAAUCUGCUGUGUUGCUCUGUAGCCAAAGUGAUAUCACUUUGAAUCCGAUAGCGAAACUGGAGCUAGAGUUAGUAUUUUGGACAUCUACUUCAAUCUAGAGCAUCUCGAGAAAUUAUGAAUACACUACACAACCACAAAGUUGGUCUAAUUGGUAACUUCAUUUUGGAGACCAAGCGUUGCGUUAAAGAAAUUAACUGUAAAACCUAUUCCGAAGCACAUUCCCCCUUCUUUUUUUUAUACUGCUUAUAAAGUUUCUCUUCACAACUUGUUCCAACUAGGUAACAUAAUGACCACUUAUAACUAGGUCAAACUAUUGUCUAGGUCCACCAUUGUUUAGACUUUAGACGCAGCUAGGAAUUUAUAUCGAAAACAAAAAGUCAGAUACUAAUGUAAUAGAUAAGAUAUGGUUCUGAUUUGUGUGGCCGUGAUUACCUGCUACUGUGUUCAUAAAUGAUCUUCUCUGAUUUUCUUCUAACAAUCUCAAUUGCCAAAUACUUUUUGUUCUUCUUCUUCAACAAUGAUAUAUGAUGUUUUUCUUAACUUCAGUGGGGAAGACGUCCGUGGAACUUUCCUCAACCACUUUUUCAAAGAGCUAGAACGGAAAUCGAUCAUUGCUUUCAAAGACAACGAGAGCGAAAGAAGCCAGAAUCUAAGUCCCGAGCUUACACAUGCAAUUAGGGAGUCCAGAAUCACGGUGGUCGUGUUCUCCAAAAAUUACUCCUCUUCAACCUGGUGUCUCAAUGAAUUGCUGCAGGUCUAUGAAUGCUACCAAAGCAUGGAUCUCCCGGUCAUACCAAUUUUCUACGGUUUGGAUCCUUCUCAUGUGAGGAAACAAACCGGAGAAUUUGGAAAGAAUUUUGAGAAGACUUGCAGAAACGAAACAGAGGCAUGUGUAUAUCAGUGGAGAAGAGCUCUGUGCGAUGUAUCUAAUUUCCUCGGAUAUCAUUCUCCGAACUGGUACAAUUCUUGAUAUUUGACUACUUUAUAGUUGACGUUUCUUGCUUCUCAAGUAUUGAUUUUUCUCAUAUUGUUAGGGCUAAUGAAGCAACAAUGAUUGAACAAGUCGCCAAUGAUGUUUUAUUUAAACUGAAUUUAACUCCAUCAAGCGAUUUUUCUGAAUUUGUUGGCAUCGAAGAUCAUAUUGCCGCGAUGAAUUCUGUGGAUAAACGAUGACUAAGUUCAAGAUAGGUUUGGUGCUGAGAAAUGAUUUCCCAUGGGGAUGUUGAUGAAGCUUAGAGCUUAAGACUUAAAGAGUUUGCUGGGACAUUUACAUAGGCCAAGAGAACACAAAACGAGGAAAAGUAAUUAAUUGAAAAGUCGAAGUCUAAGAAUUGACUAUUGAAGACAUGUUCAAGAAGAAAAACAUGGAUUCUGAAACACUUAGUUAAGAUUAUAUGAGUAAACUCAUACAAAUACUUGAUUUGAUAAAUUGGAAGCUUACGCAGAAAAAUUGCAAGGAGAAAGAUUAGUGGGUGAGUCAGAGAGACGAAGGAAGUUGAACAAUGUUAUUAAGCAAUAAGCAAUAGUCACGAACUGAACAUUCUUUCAAACUGAUUUGAUAGCUUGUUGCACACGUUUCUUUAUAGGAUAAAAAAAAAAUGAAUUACUGAAUAAGUUUACAUACAGUUUGGCCAAAUAGAAGUCUCUGCUUCAGACUAGAGCUACUCAGAAAUGUUAAGCGCAUAAGAUAGGGAAACAUGUUUUCUUCGAAAUCGAAUAAGCUUAAAUUUUAAAUCCUUAAAUUAAGAUAUAAAGUUUGAUUAUGUCCUUUCUUUGCUGUAGUAUAUCCACAUAUUCACACGAGAAAGUUGCUAAGCUUAAGAGUUCUUUGAAAAGUCUUAAGAAGAAAUUAAAGACUCCAUCCGCCAAUAAAUGUUAUUUUUGAAACACAAAGACCCCGAAAGUAAUGCUCAGGAUAAGACUUAAGAGGCUAUGAAACAUUUGUUUGUGACCUUGUGUAUACUAUGAUUAAGACAUCAAAUUGGAAACAUCCGUCAAGUUGCGUCGGAAAAGUCUGAGAAACAAUGGUGAAUACUUGUGUGGCCGUGAUUAAGUCAAGUUACCUCUCAGCUGUUAUGUCAAAUGUUUUAUAUCCACCAAGACAGACUCCCUACUUCUCCUCUAUUCCUCUUCUUACAAUCUCAAUCUCCAUAGUCUUUGUUCUUAGUUUUCUCCUCCUCUCACUCUCUCUCUCUAUGGCUUCUUCAUCUUCUUCUCGAAAUUGGUUAUAUGAUGUUUUCUUGAGCUUCAGAGGGGGAGACGUCCGUGUAACAUUCCGUAGCCACUUUCUCAAGGAGUUCGAUCGGAAACUGAUCACUGCUUUCAGAGACAAUGAGAUCGAGAGAAGCCACUCUCUUUGGCCCGAUCUUGAACAAGCGAUCAAGGACUCCAGAAUCGCAGUGGUCGUUUUCUCCAAAAACUACGCUUCAUCGAGCUGGUGUCUUAACGAGUUGCUGGAGAUUGUGAACUGCAAUGAUAAAAUUAUCAUACCGGUUUUCUACGGUGUGGAUCCUUCCCAAGUGAGGUAUCAAAUCGGUGACUUUGGAAGGAUCUUUGAAAAGACUUGCAAGAGACAAACAGAGGAAGUGAAAAACCAAUGGAAGAAAGCGUUGACUCUUGUAGCUAAUAUGCUUGGAUUUGAUUCUGCCAAAUGGUAUGAUUUUUAUACUAAAAUUCAUUAUUAGAUACAUCUUGAAAUAAAAUUGUUGUUUCAUAUUUCUUAAAUUAUCUUUCACCUUAUUAGGGAUGACGAAGCAAAAAUGAUUGAAGAAAUAGCCAAUGAUGUUUUGCGUAAACUGCUUUUAACUACAUCGAAGGAUUUUGAUGACUUUGUCGGCCUCGAGGAUCAUAUUGCAAAUAUGAGUGCACUGUUGGAUCUGGAAUCUAAGGAAGUGAAGAUGGUUGGUAUAUGGGGUUCCUCGGGGAUUGGUAAGACUACCAUUGCACGAGCUUUGUUUAACAACCUUUUUCGGCAUUUCCAAGUUAGGAAAUUCAUAGACAGAUCUUUUGCCUAUAAGAGUAGAGAAAUUCAUAGUAGUGCCAAUCCUGACGACCACAAUAUGAAGUUACAUUUACAAGAGAGCUUCCUCUCUGAAAUUCUAAGGAUGCCGAACAUAAAGAUAGAUGAUCCAACUGCACUGGAAGAGAGGCUAAAGUACCAAAAAGUUCUUAUCAUUAUUGAUGAUUUGGAUGAUAUAAUGGUACUAGAUACAUUGGUGGGUCAAACUCAAUGGUUUGGAUAUGGGAGCAGAAUCAUUGUGGUUACAAAUGAUAAGCACUUCUUGACUGCUCAUGGGAUUGAUCAUAUUUAUGAAGUUAGUUUCCCAACUGACGUGCAUGCUUGUCAGAUGUUAUGUCAAUCUGCAUUCAAGCAAAACUAUGCUCCUGAAGGUUUUGGGGAUCUUGUAGUUGAUGUUGUAAGACAUGCAUGUAGUUUUCCUUUGGGUCUUAAUCUUUUGGGUAAGUAUCUGCGGGGUAGGAAUGAGGAGUACUGGAUGGAUAUACUGCCAAGGCUUGAGAAUGGUUUACGUCUAGACGGUAAAAUUGAGAAAAUACUAAGAAUCAGCUAUGAUGGGUUAGAUAGUGAAGAUCAAGAGAUAUUUCGUCAUAUCGCAUGUAUUUUCAUUCAUAUGAAAGUCACAACCAUCAAGUCCUUGCUGGCAGAGAGUGAUGUUAGUUUUGCACUGGAAAACCUAGCUGAUAAGUCUCUCAUUCAUGUCAGACAAGGUUAUGUGGUGAUGCACCGUUCGCUACAAGAAAUGGGUAGAAAAAUUGUUCGCAUUCAGUCCAUUGACAAUCCUGGAGAGCGAGAAUUUUUGGUGGAUCCAAAUGAUAUACAUGAUGUACUCAAUGCAUGCACAGUAAGUUUUUUUUUUUUAAAAAAUUUAUCCUUUCAUGACUCAAUAUAUAAGGUUUAAGAGAUGCCAUCUGAUAAACAAUGAAGUAUGAGUUUGUCUCUUUCUCAUUAAUAUCAUAUUUUUCAGGGUACUCAAAAGGUUUUAGGUAUAUCACUCAAUACAAGAAAUAUUGUUGAGUUGGAUGUACAUGAGAGUGCCAUCAAAGGGAUGUCUAAUCUCCGUUUCUUAGAAAUUAAGGAUUUCAUAAGUCAAUGGAAGAAAGCGUUGAUUGAUGUAUCUAAGAUAGCAUUUGAUUCUACCGAAUGGUAUAACUUUUUGAUUAUUAGACAUUUUGAAAUAAAUUGUUGUUUCAUAUUUGUUCAAUAAUUUUUCUUCUUAUUGGGAUGACGACGCAAAAAGGAAUCGCGGAUUAAUCACUCAAAAUUAUGUUAAUUUGCUUUUGCUUUCAACUACUCCCAAGGAGUAUGAGGAACUUGUUGGCAUUGAAGAUCACACCGCUGAAAUGAGUUUACCUGCAACUAAGAGCUUUGAUUUCGAAGAUGACGGAUUGCAUUUACCUGCAAGUUUCGACUAUUUGCCUCCUACACUUAAACUAUUGUGCUGGCCCAAAUUUCCAAUGAGGUGUAUGCCUUAUGAUUUUUGUCCUGAAAACCUUGUCAAACUCGAAAUGCGGGAGAGCAAGCUAUAUAAGCUGUGGGAAGGAGUUGUGGUAAGUUUUGAGAAUAAUUUCUUAUGUUAUUAUUUUGGUUUUUGGAUGACAACAGUGCCACGUGAUGUGUAAUUUCUGUUGAUCUCUGUGUUUAAUUGUUGUUUGAAUACAGCCACUUACAUGUCUAAAGGAAAUGGAUCUAGAUGGAUCAGUCAAUCUGAAAGAAAUUCCAGAUCUUUCCAUGGCUACUAAUCUCGAGACACUUAAUUUUGAGAAUUGCAAGAGUUUGGUGGAGCUUCCUUCCUUUAUACGAAAUCUCAAUAAGCUGUUGAAAUUGAACAUGGCAUUCUGCAACAGUCUGGAAACUCUUCCAACUGGUUUCAACCUCAAAUCUCUGGACCGCCUUAGUUUCUCUGAAUGCACAAAGUUGAAGACUUUUCCCAAAUUCUCAACCAACAUCUCAGUUCUCAAUCUCUUUGGAACAAACAUUGAAGAAUACCCUUCUCACUUACAUCUCGAGAAUCUUGUCGAGUUUAGCAUAUCAAAAGAAGAGAGUAAUAUGAUACAAUGGGAGGGAGCGAAGGUGAGUAGUUCUAAACUUAAUAUUCUCUCCAAACUAUUUUACUAUCACUGUUUAUAUUUAAACUAUUGUCGCAGACUCAAAUUUUGUACACUUGUGUAUUAAAACUUAAAAACUUAAGUGACUUUUAUAAAAUUUACAAAUUUUAUAUUAUUCAAUCAUAAGUUUUAAAAUUCUAAUGAAUUCUAAUGUUAUUGAACUAACGAUUUAAAAAUCCUACUAUAUUAUUUGGGAAGUACAUUUUAAAUGUAACCUUAAUUUUUGUAAGUAAUUACAUAGGUAUGCCAUUAGAAAUAAAAUUUUAAAGAGUAAAUUAAUUUAUCUUUUUAAUGAUUAAAAGUCAAAUACUAAUUUAAUUAAUUAAAUUUAAUUAAUUAAAUUUAAUUAAAAAACGAAAUACAUUAUUAUUUUCCAAAAAUAAUAACCAAUCAAAAUCAACAUAUAAGAUUUGAUAUCUAAAUUUUAAUUAAUUUAAUUUAAUUAAAAAAACGAAAUACAUUAUUAAUUUCCAAAAAAGUAACCAAUUAAAAUCAACAAAUUAUAUUUGAUAUCUAAAUUAUCAUAUUAUUUUUUUAUUAAUUAUUAUAGUUCACUUCUCAUCUUUAUAUGAUUUUAUUUUUGCGGAAAAAUAAUAUCAUCAUUAUAAAAAAAUAAUUAGAGUUAUUUCGCAUAUGCCACAAUUUGAAUUUUUAAAAACGAAUAUAAACUGUUCAAUACAUGAAAAAAUAUUAUAACGGGUGAAAAAUAGAUUUAAGAAAACUUUCUACUGAGUAACGGGUCAUAAUUUGAAAUAUUUAUAUUCAAUUUCAUACAUAUUAUAUUGAAAAUUUAUAAUCUUAUAUACUACAAUAAUUAAUAACAUAUUAGAUGUGAUUCAAUUUUUAAUAAAAGCUGGAAAAUCCUAGAAUUGACGGGUUUAGAUCGAUAUUAAUACAAGAUGGAAUACUACAGGUGAAACUCUUAAAUUAACAAUCAAACUACAAGUGUAUAAUCUUAAACACUAAACAAUAUAGAUAAUAUCAACAAAACAUAUACAUGAACUCACAGUUUACUAUACAUAUAAAAUCAAAUAAAAUAAUAUCAUAUAUUUUUAAAUCAUCUUUACAAUAAAAGAUUUUAUUUUAACUAAAAUAUAAGCCUACCUGCGGUAUACUGCAAGUCAAUUUAAUAUUUUAUAUACGAAAUCAAUUAAAUCUUAAUCACAUAAAAAUUAGCACAAAAAAAAGUAUUCAACAAUUAAAAAAUUAUCAAAUCUCUGUGUUAUAUAAGUUUUGAUACUAUAUUCGAAUAAUGUAAUAUACCUUUUCAAUUUGUAUUCUUUAACUAAUUUAAGCUAACUAAUAUAUUUGCUAAUUUUAUACCUAUCAAAACCGACUAUCGUUUCUUAUCUCUAUAGUAUUUUUGCAAGACUUUUUUGGUGGAUUUGGAUAAAAGUGUAUUCGGGUCAUAUGAUACAUUCCCCUAUUAAAUAAAUAUGGUGCACUCCUAUGUUAUUAGCUAAAAUGUUUAGAAUAUAAUUCAGAGUCAUAUCAUUAAUAAAAUUAAUAUUAAUAAACUAAAUGACUUUUUGGCAAGACGAAUUUGGAGAGACGGGUUUUUGAAUCAACAUUAAUAAAAAAGUAAAAUAUGAUUAAUCCACCGUUUCAAUACGGGUUAAAUCUUUAAUUUAUUAUUUUGUAAGACCACUAAUAUUAAACAUAUCAAAUCAUCAUAAUUUAAAAAAGAUUAUAUAAAACCAAAAAUGUUAUGUGGUAUGUAUAAUGUUACUAUAUAUAAAAUUAAAUAAUAAAAUAUAAAUGUAUUAGAGAAUGAUACAAUUUGCAAAACUUUAAUAUAUAAAAAAUAAUUCUUAAAUUUUAAAAAUUACUACUUUAAAAAAAUAAUCACGGGACGGGUAAAAAAAUUACAGAACGGGUUUUAUUUUGGAAUUGGGUUAUAUGGUGGAUGUAUUUGAAUCAAUAUUUAUAAAAUUUUAAAAUAUUAUUAAUAUGCUGUUUUAAUAGGGAUUAAAACUUCAGUUUUUUAACAAUUAUCUCAUGGAUUCGUGGUAUAGGGUUACCUAAUAACAAUUAUAAACUGGAAAAUAAAAAUAUUUUAUAAAAAUAAAAUUUGCAAGUUUUAAUAUAUAUUACUUUUAAAAAAUAAAUCGUCAAAAUCUAGUUUUACCUUUAAAUCUACUGUUAUUGAAACCAAUUUGUGGAUUUAAUUCUUAUUAAUUUUAAAGGAUUUAAGAAGAUUUGAAAAGAUUUCUUUAGUUAAAAAUAUAGAAAUCCAAAUCUCAUGGUUUUAGAUGGAAUUUGAAAAGAUUUUACAAUAAAUUACAUCAACUUCCCUAAAAUCAUUAAAAUCAUAUAAAACCCCAGUAAAACUCAAAUCAUUCUUUGUCCAAUACACCCUCCUAAUUUCGUUUUGUUUAUGAAUACUUUAAUUUGAUUGAAAAGUAACUUUUGGUUACAAAGAACGAAGAAGAAAACAUUUGAUUUUAAAAAAUAAAAUAAAAAUACAAAAUAAUGGAUUUCACCAAAACAAUAUACAAAAUAACGGUAAUAAAAGAGUUCCAAACAAUCUAAUACUGUACUGAUGAGAUUUACCCAUAAUACUGUUAUUCUUUUGAUUUUAAAAGAUUUAUUUUCUAAAUUUAAGAUAAUAACACUUUAAAAGUAAUUUGCCACUGAAACUUGUUAUUUGGUUCAGCCGCUUACGCCCUUCCUGGCUAUGAUGUUGUCUCCCACUUUGACGAGCCAUUGCAGCAGGCUAAAAUGUGUAUCCCUACACAUUUCUAAACUGAAACAUCUUGAGGACGCUUUGUUUCCAGCUUGUGGGGCAUUAAAUCGAGUUGAAUUGAGUGGUUCUUCUAGUGGGAUGAAAGCAGACAAUAUUGACACAGCCUCCUCUUCUCUUCCUCAAGUCGAACUUGAUUUCAGGGAGUGCUUCAACUUGGAUCCAGAAACUGUCCUUCACCAAGAAUCAAUUAUAUUCAAGUACAUGUUAUUUCCAGGGAAAGAAGAAGUGCCAUCAUAUUUCACUUACCGUACUACUGGAGUCUCCUCUCUGACCAUUCCUCUACUUCACCUCCCUCUCUCCCAACCAUUCUUCAGAUUUAGGGUUGGCGCAUUGGUAACUAAUGUUAAGCAUGGAAAAAAUAUAAAGGUAAAAUGUGAGUUCAAAGACAGAUUUGGGAACAGCUUUCAUGUUGGCUCGGAUGAUUUCUACGUUUAUCUACUUUUCACGAAAAGUCAGAAGGGUAGUCAAAUGUUAACUAUAUUGGACUGUUGUAUCCCUCUAAACGAAGGUAAUGCUUCUCUAGCUCAAGGGAACUACUACGAUCAUGUGGAUAUAAAUAUUCAUAUAACAGAAUCUCUUGGAUCUUUUGGAUCUACGUCUGAAUUAAAAGAAUGGGGUAUACGACUCUUAGAGGAAGACUCUUCAUCAGCAGAGAACCAACUUGGUAAUCCGAACAGUACUCUUCCACAUGUUUCUGAAGCCGAAGAAGGCAAUAUGGGGUAUUAUACACCUGUUCAAGGACUUGUUAAUGAGAUUGAACACAAUGGAGAGUCUGGAGAUAACAAUGUAGAGACUGAGAGAAGCACGAAGCAUGCGGGUAAGCAUUAAGCAUUAAUUGAACAUUAUGACUAUUCAUCUCUCAAUUCUUUUUGUAUUAUUGACAACUGAAUUCUCUAGCUCAACGGAACUACUACGAUCAUGUGGAUAUAGAUAUUGAGCAAAUGGAUAGUGAUGAUGAUAUUGAAGAAUGGGGUAGACACUUAGAGGACUGUCAUCAGCGAAGAAUCGACAUGGUAAUCCAAACACUAUGCAGUAUGUUUGUGAAGCCGAUGAAGACAAUGAUGGAUGCCAUUAGACUGAUCACAACGAAGAGCGAGGAGACAGUGAUGAAUAGUGAUAUAGGCAGGGAGACUGAUCACUUUGAAGAGUGCGAAGAUAGUGAUAUAAGCAAUGAGAGUGAUCAGAGUGAAGAGCGUGGGGAUAGUGACGAUGAUGGUAUAAACAAUGAGACUGAUCUGUUCGAAGAGUGUGGAAACAGUGAUUAGGCAAUGAGCUUGAUCACAAUGAAGAGAGUUGAGACAGAGAGAACCAAUACACAAUACAAGGUAAUUAUUAAUCAAGAAAUGAACAGAAUAUCAGAUAUCUCACAAUCAGGAUCUUUAAUAUUAUAGAUCACUGAGUUGUUUUCUUUGACUUGCAGAUUACGUAAAAAAUAAAUGAAUCUUUGAGAUACUUUUACGGUGAUGGAAUGCGUAGUUUUGCUGCCGGUUCUAUUGAACAACAAGGAGAGCCCAAGAUUCUUCAUUGUCUCCCUAGCUGGACAGACAUUUUCAGGUAACCCGAAAAAACUCAAAAACCAUUUCAUUUUAGUUCCACAUCAAUUGUAAUACAGAGCAUAAAUCCUUUUAUACUUAUUUUCUUGUUUCUUACAGUUUGAGGAUUAUUUCUCCAUAAAUCCUUUCCUAACUUGAGCAAGGAUCACCUCAACUACGAUGUGGAGAAUUAUGAGCUCACAUCUUCACAAGAAUUUUGUAAAUAAAAUAAAGGGAGAAAGUGUCAAUAAAAUUGUUCUCAAAAAUUUGUUGUCUGAGAUUGGAUGAAAUCUGUUGUUUGAAACUCUUUUGGCUCUGGAUUCUCCUCUAGCUGAAGCCAACUAGGGUCAUGUUAAUAUAAUUCAUAUUAAAAGGAUUUGGUAUAAGAAAUGACAUCGGAUAACUUCAUUUACAGAGGUUUUGUACAAGAAAAUAUAUCUAUAUAUAUCAAAAUUUUCAAAUUUGCUUCCAAUCUGAUUAAGCCUAUCGCUAUGCAUGUGCAUAUAGAGACGAAGCUGCAACUAUGUAGCAUAUUAAGGCCAAGACCCAAGAGUGAAUAAACCAUAUUCUGUUGUUACUUUCCUGUAUGAUAUCAAAAUGAGUAAUGGAGUUUCUAUAAUAUUGACACCCCAUAUUGCUGCAUCGACAUGUUAGUGUUUAAGGGGAAAUUGAACACACAAUAGUUAGGCGUAAAAACUUAACUAUCAAUUGUUCUACAAUGCUUGGUUGAAUGUUGAUAUCCAACCUACUUGGUUUGAUGAUUUGGAGUUGAUGCGUCGUAUGCGGAUAGAGAAGUCUGUUUUGGGAUUGCUGGAGGAUAUAGGUUUGGGAACGAUUUGACUUGUAUGACUUGUAGUAUGACUUGUAUCCGGAGCUAGUGCGGCAGUUUAUGGCUUAUGUUAGGGUUUUUUAUGCGAAUGACAGGGUGUGAGAUACUCAUGAAGGAGCCCUUAUCUUCUUCAUUCGUGGGUUUGAGAAUGAUACUUCAUAUGUCUUUCUUCCUGGACAGUUUGCAGAUGCUCAGAUAUUUUGAGCGAAUUUGGAAAUGGGGUUUAUGAUUCCAAAGAUUCAGUGCAUUCAGAGAUUCGUCAUCCUGUUCUAAGAUAUUUAGCUAGGUUGAUUAGCAACACAUUCUUGUGUAAGAUGGAGCGUGGUAAGAUGAGACUUUCUGAGUUGUUGAUGCUUUAUCAUGCUGUGAUUGUUGAACUUUUAAAAUCUGUCAUUUAGAAUCAUUUCCAGAAUAUUUGUAUCAGUUCUACUUCUUGUAUAGUACGCAAAAUUGUAGCGUGUAACACAAGAAACAGAGUAAGAACCAUAGAGUAACUUCGCUUGCACAUUUGUUAUGUGGAUGGUCCUGCCAUUAGGAGCCGCGACCAUUCUACAAACGCCGCAUCAAAGCCAAAACCAGAAUCGGAGAACCAUAGACGCACAAAGAUAGAUUUGGAGCCCAACUCGCCGGAGGUUAAGUCUUUAGCUUUCUACUUUCACUCUAUCUCUCUAUGGCUUGUUCGUCUACUUCUCUCAAUUGGGUAUAUGAUGUUUUCUUGAGCUUCCGAGGGGAAGACGUCCGCAUAUCUUUCCUUAGCCACUUUCUCAAGGAGCUCGAUCCUAAACUGAUCACUGCUUUCAAAGACAAUAAGAUCCAGAGAAGCCACUCCCUCUGGCCCGAGCUUGUACAAGCGAUCAAGCAAUCGUUGGAAGAAAGCAUUGAGUGAUGUAGCUAAUAUGUUUGGAUUUCAUUCUGCGACAUGGUAUAAAAAUAGAUGUGGGUGUAGAGUUUGAGUACUAAUAAGAACCUGAACAAGUGAGAUGUUGGACUAUACGAUGAAAUUGAGAGCUAAAGUUUCGAGCCCAUUGGGCUUAUAUUUCAAUUUUUUCUUUUGUUUUCAGUCUGUUACAAAAGCAAGUCAUCUUAUUCAAUAAUAUAUGUCUUCUUACUCUAAAAUUGUAAUUUCUCAAAUUUAGCUACAAAACCAGUCUAUCUUUGACGUUGGUGGUAUUAUUAGCUCAUUAACACACACACAAAAAUGUCCUUGUUGGAUAUAACGACGAUUCAAAAAUCUAAAGACAAAGAAUUGACGAUUAACGCGUGAAGAAGACUUGGGGAACCGCAUCAGUCAAAAAGUACAAAGACUAGUAUUGAGUGACCAAAGUCAACAAAUAGUAAAUGUUCUGUCAAGUUGCAUAUAAGAAAAGUCUGAGAAAUUGCUACUAAACCACACUAUGCUUUCGCACAAAAAAAAAAAAAAAAAAAAAACCACACUAUGCUAGUGCUGCCUGCAAAUUUAGGGUUUCUUAACGACGACGGCAACGCUUCUUCACUUUUCUUCUGAUUGCAUUCUCAGUAUCACCAGGUCUUAAGUUGUUCUUCUCAAAAUUACAUUCCUUUUCUCUAUAUGGCUUCUUCUCGGAAUUGGGUUUAUGAUGUCUUCCCGAGCUUCAGCGGAACAGAUGUCCGUCGGAAUUUCCUCAGCCACUUGCUCAAGGGGCUGCAUAAAUCCGUCAAUUCUUUCAGAGACCAAAACAUGGAGAGAAGCCAAUCACUCGAUCCCAUGCUUAAACAGGCGAUUAGGGAUUCUAGAAUUGCUCUGGUCGUGUUCUCAAAGAACUACGCCUCUUCAAGCUGGUGCCUUAAUGAGCUGUUGGAGAUUGUGAAAUGUAAGGAAGAGUUUGGUCAAAUGGUGAUUCCUAUUUUCUACUGUUUGGAUCCUUCCCAUGUGAGGCAUCAAGACGGUGACUUUGGAAAGAACUUUGAAGAGACUUGCGGGAGAAAUACAGAGGAAGAGAAAAUUCAAUGGGAGAAAGCGUUGACUGAUGUCGCAAAUCUCGCUGGGUUUGAUUCUGUGACCUGGUAUGCUUCUAUACAUCAGUAAUUUGUGAUUUCAUUUAUCGUGAAUGAGCGUAGUUUCUUGUUUGGGUAAAUAAUCAUCGUUUUCUCCUUGUUAGGGAUGACGAAGCAAAAAUGAUUGAAGAAAUAGCCAAUGAUGUUUCGGGUAAACUGCUUUCAACUUCAUCCACGGAUUCUGCUGAGAACUCUAUUGGCAUUGAAGAUCAUAUUGCAAAUAUGAGUGUCUUGUUGCAAUUGGAAGCUGAGGAAGUGAGAAUGGUUGGUAUAUGGGGUUCCUCGGGGAUUGGUAAGACUACCAUUGCAAGAGCUCUGUUUAACCAACUUUCUCGGCAUUUCCCAGUUAGCAAAUUCAUAGACAGAGCUUUUGUAUAUAAGAGUAGAGAAACUUACAAGGGCGCCAAUCCGGACGACCCGAACAUGAAGUUGCACUUGCAAGGAUGUUUCCUAUCGGAAAUUUUGGGGAAAAAAGACAUAAAGAUUGAUCAUUUAGGUGCACUGGGAGAGAGGCUAAAGCACCAGAAAACUCUCAUCAUCAUUGAUGAUUUGGAUGAUCUAGUGGUACUAGAUUCAUUGGUGGGUAAAACUAAUUGGUUUGGAUGUGGGAGCAGGAUCAUAGUGAUUACCAAUAAUAAGCAAUUCUUAAGGGCCCAUGGAAUUGAUCAUAUUUACGAAGUUAGUCUCCCUUCUAAAGAGCGCGCUCAAGAGAUGUUUUGUCAGUCUGCUUUCGGGGAAAACUCUCCACCUGAAGGUUUUGAGGAGCUCGUAGUUGAAAUUGCAUGGCUUGCUGGUAGUCUUCCUUUGGGUCUUACUGUUUUUGGUUCAGCUCUACGAGGAAGAAAAAAGGAGUACUGGGUGAAGAUGUUGCCAAGGCUUCAAAAUGAUCUAGAUGGCAAUAUUGAGGAGACAUUGAAAGUCAGCUAUGAUGCGAUAGGCAACGUAAAAGAUCAAGCGUUAUUCCGUCUUAUCGCAUGUCUUUUCAAUCACGUCAAAGUCAGAGACAUUGAAUUGUUGCUCGCAGAUAGUGGCUUAGAUGUAAAUAUUGCACUGGAAAACCUAGUUGAUAAGUCCCUUAUUCAUGUCAGAAAUGAUCAUGUGGAGAUGCACCGUUUGCUACAAGAAACGGGUAGAAAUAUUGUACGCUCACAGUCCACUGACAACCCAGGAGAACGAGAAUUUCUGGUGGAUUCAAACGAUAGUCGUACUGUACUCAGUGAAGGCAUUGUAAGUCUUUUUUUUAGUUGUGCUACUUUCAGUAUACGAGGUUAAGAAAGUGCCAUUUGAUGAAUCAUGAAUUGUAUGGUUUUGUCUCUAUCUCACUAAUAUCAUAUUUUUCAGGGUACUCGAAAGGUGCUAGGAAUAUCAUUGGAUACAAGUAAGGUUAGUGAGUUUUGUGUACAUGAGAAUGCCUUCAAAGGGAUGGGUAAUCUCCUUUUCUUGGAUAUUUCCUCGAAGACUUUUAUAGAAGAAGAAGUCAAAGUGCAUUUACCGGAAAAAAUAAACUAUUAUUCCGUUCAACCCAAACAAUUGAUUUGGGAUAGAUUUCCACUGAAAUGUAUGCCUUAUACUUUUCUUCGAAACCUCGUCAAGCUCGAAAUGCAUGACAGCAAGCUAGAGAAGCUGUGGGAAGGAGCUAUGGUAAGGUUUAAGAAUAAAUUGUUAAUGCUAAUUGUAGUUUUUAAAUGACGUGAUGUGUAAUUUCAACUGAGCUCUGCGUUUAUUUUUGUCUGAGUACAGUCAUUUACAUGUCUAAAGGAAUUGGAUAUGUGGGCAUCUAAAUACCUGAAAGAAAUCCCAGAUCUUUCAAAGGCCACUAACAUUGAGAAACUUGACUUUGGACAUUGCUGGAGUUUGGUGGAGCUUCCUUCCUCUAUACGAAAUCUCAAUAAACUGUUGGAAUUGAAUAUGGAAUACUGCGGUGAAUUGGAGACUCUUCCUACGGGUUUCAACCUCAAAUCCCUGGACUACCUCAAUUUCAAUGAAUGCUGGAAGUUGAGGACUUUUCCUGAAUUCGCAACCAACAUCUCAAAUCUCAUUCUGGCAGAAACAUCUAUUGAAGAAUACCCUUCCAAUUUGUAUUUCAAGAAUGUCCGUGAGCUAAGCAUGGGGAAAGCGGAUAGUGAUGAGAAUAAAUGCCAAGGAGUGAAGGUAUAUGUAGUUCUCUCCAAUAUCAUGAGAAUCCAUUAUAUGUUUUUCUUUUCAAAGUGUAAAGGUAAAUCUUGCAUUGAGUAUUACCAAGUCAAUCAACAAACAAAGAAUGCAAAAUGACAAAUGCAAAUUUGUUUCGUAAUGGAAUUUGUUUUAGCUUAGAUUAAUUAAUUGAAAAGUCCCAAACUGUAAAUUGUAUUAUUGGUGAUUUUUGUUUAACAUCUCUAAAUUGUUUAUUUGGUUCAGCCCUUCAUGCCGAUGCUGUCUCCCACUUUGACCCUCUUGGAGCUCUGGAAUAUCCCAAAUUUAGUAGAGCUUUCGUCCUCAUUUCAGAAUCUCAAUAACCUUGAGAGGUUGGACAUUUGUUACUGCAGAAAUCUGGAGUCUCUACCCACCGGAAUCAACCUCGAAUCUCUCGUUUCCCUUAAUCUCUUUGGAUGCUCACGGUUGAAGCGCUUUCCUGAUAUCUCAACCAACAUCAAAUAUCUCGAUCUAGACCAAACUGGGAUUGAAGAGGUUCCUUGGCAGAUCGAGAACUUCUUUAACCUCACUAAGCUAACUAUGAAAGGUUGCCGCGAGCUAAAAUGUGUAUCCCUAAACAUUUUUAAACUCAAACAUCUUGGGGAAGUUAGCUUUUCCAAUUGCGGGGCAUUGACCAGAGUUGAUUUGAGUUGCUAUCCAAGUGGGGUGGAGAUGAUGAAGGCAGACAAUGCUGACAUAGUUUCUGAGGAGACCACCUCUUCUCUUCCUGAUAGUUGCGUCCUCAAUGUCAAUUUCAUGGAUUGCGUCAAUCUGGAUCGAGAACCUGUCCUUCACCAACAGUCGAUUAUUUUCAACUCCAUGAUAUUGCCAGGUGAAGAAGUGCCAUCAUAUUUCACUUACCGAACAUCUGACUCUCAACCAUUUGGAACGUCUUCCUCUCUGCCCAUCCCUCUACUUCCCACACAACUCUCUCAACCAUUCUUCAGAUUUAGGGUUUGUGCAGUGGUAAGUGCUUCCAAUGGAGUAUAUAUCGGGGUAUAUAGUCGGUUCAAAGGCAGAAUUGGGAACAAAUUUGAUUCCUUUGGUGAGCUACAUAAAUUCAUGGAAAUUGAGAAGGGUAUUCAUCUGUGUAUAUUUGACUGUCGUAUCCGUCUAUACAAAGAUAAUGUUCCUCUAUCUCAACUGAACUAUGAUCAUGUGGAUAUAAAUAUUCAUAUAACUAGUGGAGAUUGGAGAUCUACGGUCGUUUUAAAAGAAUGGGGUAUACGACUCUUAGAGGACUGUUCAUCAGCGGAGAACCGACUUGGUAAUCCAAACAGUACUCUUCCACAUGUUUGUGUAGAGGAUGAAGAAAAUUUGGUUAAUGGGACUGAACAAGGUGAUAGAGGUGAUGUAGUGACGGAGACAAGCAGUAAACAGAAUGAAGACGUUAUCCUUCUGCAACGAUCAGCUGAUUCCAUGUUCUCUAGGAUGUCAGGAAAAGAAAUGAUUUCAUAUUUCACUCAUCGCACUACUGGAACCUCUCUAACCAACAUACCUCUACCUCACACCUCUCCCUCGCAACCGUUCUUCAGAUUUAAAGCUUUCGCAGUGGUUGGUUGCAAAUCUUCUGGUCAGUUUUCAUAUUUUGUCACCCAUAUUUCUUGUCGAUUCAAAGAUGGAUUUGAGAAUCAACCACGUAGGCUUUAUAAAGCUGAGAAUGGUAACCACCUUGACAUAUAUGAGUGCUCUUUCCCUCUAUACCAAGGUAAUGCUUCUCCAGCUGAAAUGAACUAUGAUCGCGUGGAUAUACAGCUUCAUUUAAGGUAUAGAAGUGACUCUACGGUCAGAUUAAUAGUAUGGGGUAUACGCCUCAUCGAGGACUGUUCAUCAUCCGAGAACCAACUUGGUUAUCUAAAUACUCUGUAGCAUGUUCGUGAAGACAGUGAAACGGUGAGAGUGCCAAAAGUUCCAAGAGGCUCAAGACAUUGAGAUAGGCUAUGAGACUGAUCAGAGUGAAGAGCGUGGAUACAGAGUGAUGAUAUUGGUAUAGACAGUGAGACUGAUCAGUUUGAAGAGUGUGGAAAUAGUGAUAUAGGCCAUGAGAUUGAUCAGAGUGAAGAAUGUGAAGACAUGGACGAUACUGGUGGUAUAUGCAUUGGGAUUGAUCAGAGUGAAGAGCGAGGAGACAGUGAUGAAUAGUGAUAGUGGCAGUGAGACUGAUCACUUUGAAGAGUGCGAAGAUAGUGAUAUAGGCAAUGAGAUUGAUCAGAGUGACUAAUGAGAUUGAAUACAAUGAAGAGAGUAGAGACAGAGAGAACCAGUACACAAUGGCAGGUAAGUAUUAAUCAAGAACUGAACAGAAUAACAGAUAUCUCGCCGUCAGGAUCUUUAAUAUUAUAAAUCACUGAGUUGUUUUCUUUUGCUUGCAGAUUAUGUGAAAAAGAAAUGAAUCUUUGAGAUACUUUUGUGGUGAUGGAAUGAGUAGUUUUGCUGCCGGUUCUAUGGAACAACAAGAAGAGCCCAAGAUUCCUCAUUGUCUCCCUAGCUAGACAGACAUUUUCAGGUGACCCAAAAAAACUCAUAAACCAUUUCAUUUUAGUUCCACAUCAAUUGUAAAUACAGAGCAUAUAUAUAGUAGCAUGCUUUUGAAUUUCUGAUUGUCUGGUUAUAGACUUUUUAUUAUAUAGAUAUUUGGCUGUAUUCAAUUGAUAAAUUUCACAGCCAUCAAUGUUGUUCACUGCUUGGUUAAAGACUUUGAUAUUAUCUAUUAUGGGAUAAUUAGAUACAUGUGUGCUAGUAUUAUGAGGCAUAUAUUUCAAAAAAAAGUCGUGAUGUAGUUACAAAAAUUGAUGGAAUUCAAGCCACUGGUUUUUAAUUAGAUUAUAAAGCUGAAGGAAUGGAAUUGUCUCAAAUGGCAGAUGAAGAUGGUACUGUUCAUGUCAAUGUUUUAUAAUUUUUUGUUUUUUUUCUUAGGUUGCACGUUUGUGAUAAGCUUAUUUCAUUACUAUAACGAUUUAAUUUCUGAAGAACUAUUUGUGUUAUUUGUGUUCACAAGAAUUUGCUGUCUGGAACAAAGUUUUACAGUGUACCUGAAUUGAGUUUUCUUUUAUUCGUUUUCGGAUUUCACUCUCCACUAGUUGAAAAAGGUCUGAGGCUUUCUAGAUUGUUUCAAACUUCGUUAGGAACAUGAAAAUUUGCAUCUAGACAAUGCCCUGUGGUAUCUGGUAAUCAAAAUUCUGUUUCUGGUUACUUCGUUUUUACAUGGGCAGAAAGUGAAUCUCCUACAGGUCUUGCGACACAGUUAGCUUUUGAUUUGAUAAGCUUACUGUUACUUUAACCCUGUUGACAUUUCUCACCUAUGUCAUUCGUUUGAAAGCUUGUUUUGAUUCUCUAAUGAUAUGCUUAACUUUCAUUCUCUGAUGAUUCUUUUGUCUUGCAAUUGUUAUUGUUCAGGAAAGCUGGAGGAAGUCACUUUGAUGACCAAUGUUGGUUACGGAUCUGACAAGAUAUUAAUGUAAGAAUAAGAGGCUAUGGACAUGGUUUUUACUUGAGUGGUGGCGAUUAAGUCCAAAUCUAAAAGAGAUGAUUAAGUCAAGAUCCAGCAGAAAAGAGGAAACUUUCGUUAAGGUGUAUGACAACAGUGGUGCAAUUGCUAAUGUUUGUGAAUUGGUCUUUUUUCUUAUUAGGGAUAUAUAAUGAAGCAAGCAUGAUUGAAGAAAUCGCCAAGUCUUAAUCGGCUCACGUUAGGUGGUGGAAAGACGACGCAUUGCAAAAGUUUUGCAGGCUGACGAAAAAAGAGGAGAAUGGAGAUCAAUUGGAAGAGGUUCUUCUUAUUUGAUUGGUUAAUUUUUCUUUUCUUUCUAUAUUUAGAUAUACAUGGUGACACCCAUUAUUGUCCAAUUUGUCCCUUUUUUCUGUUUCUUUUGAGACCAUGUCUAUAUAUGAGAAUUGAGAAUCUUACAAUUAAAUAUUUUGAACUAAUAAGUCUUUUAUUUUGUUUCCAACUCAUGUGUUUAACUAAGUCCUAAGCUAACACUAGAUUUUUUUUAAAAGAAAUUUGGUUUUCCUCCACAGUAUUUUUAUUGUUUUUUGUGGACUUGACCACAAAACUUCAAAAGACUCGGAAGAAAAUUAAACAAAUAUUAUGCACAAUUUCGCACCACUCAAUGCC